This 1480-nucleotide ribosomal RNA is filed under the name uncultured Bordetella sp. RNAcentral's name for it is "partial 16S-23S ribosomal RNA intergenic spacer". It matches the Rfam family "Bacterial small subunit ribosomal RNA". Lineage: Bacteria; Pseudomonadati; Pseudomonadota; Betaproteobacteria; Burkholderiales; Alcaligenaceae. The record is from RNAcentral.
CAAUUAAUGCUCAGAGAGAGUUCGGUCGCUCAAAUUGAACUUGCUGGCAGGAUGUGCUACACAUGCAAGUCAGAACGGCAGCACGGGCUUGGUCACAGUGGCGAGUGGCGAACAGGUGAGUAAUGUAUCAGAACGUGCCUAGUGGCGAGAUAACUACGCGGCGCAGCGUAAUACGCAUACGCCCUUCGGGGGAAAGCGAGGGGGACCUUCAGGCCUCGCACUAUUGAAACGGCCGAUAUCGGAUUAGCCUGGUGGUGGGGUAGCGGCUCACCAAGGCGACGAUCCGUAGCUGGUUUGAAGGACGACUUCAGCCUGGGACUGAAGUUACGGCCAGACUCUACAGGAAGGCAGCGUGAUGAGGAAUUUUGGACAAUGGGGAAACCCUGAUCCAACCAUCCCGCGUGUGCGAUGAAGGCCUUCGGGUUGUAAGCACUUUUGGCAGAAAGAAACGGCACGGGAUAAUACCCCCCGUGCAACUGACGGUACCUGCAGAAUAAGCACCGGCUAACUGCAUUUAGCCGCGGUAGCCCGUAAAGUGCAAGCGUUAAUCAGAUUACUGGGCGUAAAGCGUCCGCAGGCGGUUCGGAAAGAAGUCUUGAAAUCCCGGAGGCUUAGCUUUGGAACUGCAUUUUAACUACCGAGCUAGAGUGUGUCAGAGGGAGGGUGAAUUCCGCGUGUGGCAGUGAAAUGCGUAGAUAUGCGGAGGAGGCACCGAUGGCGAAGGCAGCCUCCUGGGAUAACACUGACGCUCAUGCGAAAGCGUGGGGAGCAAACAGGAUUAGAUACCCUGGUAGUCCACGCCCUAAACGUGUCAACCCAGCUGUUGGGGCCUUCGGGCCUUGGUAGCGCAGCCAACGCGUGAAGUUGACCGCCUGGAAUGCAGUCGCAAGAUUAAAACUCAAAGAAAAUUGACAGGGACCACACAGCAGUGGAUGAUGGAUUAAUUCGAUGCAACGCAAAACCUUACCUACCCUUGACAUGUCUGGAAUCCCGAAGAGAUUUGGGAGUGCUCGCAAAGAGAACCGGAACACAGGUGCUGCAUGGCUGUCGUCGACUCGUGUCGUGAGAUGUUGGGUUAAGUCCCGCAACAGCGCAACCCUUGUCAUUAGUUGCUACGAAAGGGCACUCUAAUGAGACUGCCGGUGACAAACCGGAGGAAGGUGGGGAUGACGUCAGGUACUCUUGGCCCUUAUGGGUAGGGCUUCCACGUCAUACAAUGGCCAGGACAGAGGGUCGCCAACCCGCGAGGAGCCAAUCCCAGGAAACCCGAUCGUAGUCCGGAUCGCAGUCUGCAACUCAAACUGCGUGAAGUCGGAAUCGCUAGUAAUGGAUCGGCAUGUCAUGAUGAAUACGUUCAGGUCUUGUACACACCGCCCCGUCACACCAUGGGAGUGGGUUUACCAGAAGUAGUUAGCCUAACCGUAAGGAGGCAGUUACCACGGUAGGGAUUCAUGACUGGGGUGAAGUCAUCGCUGGGUAG